RNAcentral lists this ribosomal RNA (306 nucleotides) under uncultured bacterium. RNAcentral describes it as "partial 16S ribosomal RNA". It matches the Rfam family "Bacterial small subunit ribosomal RNA", at positions 358 to 656 of the family's 1533-position model. The record is from RNAcentral.
GGAAUCUUCCACAAUGGACGCAAGUCUGAUGGAGCAACGCCGCGUGAGUGAAGAAGGCUUUCGGGUCGUAAAACUCUGUUAUUGAAGAAGAACGUGUGUGACAGUAACUGGUCAUGCAGUGACGGUAUUCAAUCAGAAAGUCACGGCUAACUACGUGCCAGCAGCCGCGGUAAUACGUAGGUGGCAAGCGUUGUCCGGAUUUAUUGGGCGUAAAGCGAGUGCAGGCGGUCUUUUAAGUCUGAUGUGAAAGCCUUCGGCUUAACCGAAGAAGGGCAUCGGAAACUGGGAGACUUGAGUGCAGAAGGA